UAGAAUUGAAGCUGCUGCUCCAGGAAGGGUGCCUUGCCCUGGCUGACCCAGCGCCCUUGAGAAGGCAAUACGGGAGUUCGGUGACAAACCAUGCAACAUUGUAAUCGUGCCAGAACUGGGUACAAGCUUCGACAAGCUCGAGGAGGCCUAUGAUUUUUAUUUGCAGGGUAAAGCAGGGGUGGAAACACACUAGAUCAUGCAGAUGUGUGUACCCUGCAUCAAUAAGACUGCUUCGAUCAAAGGACAAUGAUUGGUACAUAGCUGAGCAUCGAGAACAUCACAACCAUUCACUGUCUCCAACAUAUGGGCAGACAAUACACCGGCCUUCCCACAAGCACAUUGAUACAUACAAUGGAGAUUUGGUGGAGCAGCUGCGUCAGAACAAUGUCAAUCUAGCCAAAGUGCAUAGCAUAAUAGGAAGCUUUUUUGGUUCAAUGGAAAAGGUGCCAUUCACGAAAAGAGCUUUGAAAAUUUUGUGUGAAAAAAUCAGCAGAGAGCAAGCAGAGAAUGAUGUGAGGAAAACUAUGGAGGUUUUUGCAGAUCUGGGUUCAAGGGACCCACACUUCACUUAUCGUGUGCAGGCAGACAAGGAUGGUCGGAUAACAACUCUGAUGUGGGCAAAUGGGAGCAUUAGAUUGCAGUACACCUUCUUUGGAGACGUUUUUACCUUCGAUACAACAUACAGAACAAAUCUGUACAACAUGCCGUUUGGUCUGUUUGUAGGAGUGAAUAAUCAUUUCCAGAGCAUCAUCUUGGCUGGGGUUUUGGUCCGUGAUGAAAAAGUGGAGACUUUUGAGUGGGUUUCCACAUAAUGCGUUAGGAUGAUGGCUGGAAGUGCACCAAAGACAAUUCUAACAUAUCAAAACCGUGCGAUGGAGGUCGCCAUAAAAAAUGUGAUGCCUCAAACAGCACACUGAUGGUGUAAGUGGCACGUGCUGAAAAAGGCGAAGGAAUCACUCGGUUCAUUGUACACCAAGAAGAGCGAGUUCAGGGCACAGUUCCACAAGGUAGUAAAUCACAUGCUUGCGAUCGAUGAAUUCGAGGAAGCAUGGAAGAUACUGGUUGAGAAAUGUAAUUUAAAGACGCAUGACUACAUCACUCAACUGUAUGAAAUAAGACACAAGUGGGCGAAGCCAUAUUUCAAAGGUGUUUUCUGUGCUAAGAUGACAAACACCCAAUGCAGUGAAAGUGCAAACCACAUGCUGAAGAGCUAUGUCCCACCUGGUUGUCUGAUGCAUAUGUUUGUCAAAAAAUACAUGAGACUACAGUUUGACAGGGAAGCUGAGGAGAACUACGAGGAGAAGCGGACACGAAUAGUAAGUCAACGUUUGGUAAUUGCCACUAGUUUUGUAGUGCUGACCUCUACGUUUCAGGGUAGAACACUAUACAAAGCAAACUUAGCUAUUGAAAGACAUGCUGGUAAGAUAUAGACACGUGCUAUGUUCGAGCAGUUUGGACAUAUACUCUAUGAGUGCGGUGCAUACCAAGUUGAGGAGCUUGAGAAAGGGAAACUGUAUCUUGUGAUUCAUACAGAGGCUGCAAGGAGAGAAAAGUGGUGUAGGGUGUCAUAUAAGGUAAAUGUUCUUGAAGGAGGUGAGGAAUUCGAUUGCGAGUGUGGGCAAUUUGCACACAUGGGACUCCUUUGUAGCCAUGUUUUGAAGGUGAUGGAUUUCAUUCGUAUUACAGAGACACCACCGAAACACAUUGUGAAGCGAUGGACGAGGGAUGCGUGUGAUGUGCUGCCAGCCCAUCUGACUCAAUACCAGAGAGAUCAUGCACACAAAAAUACAACCACCAACAGCAGCUGCUAUGAGUGGGGGUGCAGGCAUCGAGGCAGUGAAUGAUGAUGCUACUUCUGGAAAUGAGACUGGGAACAGACACACUAGUUUAUUGGCGCCGAAGAAAUGGAAAGAAAUGGGGCGCCCAACAACCAGCCGGGAGAAGGCACCGUACGAGGGACUCAGCAAGCGGACAAUGUUCUGCAGCAUAUGUCGGCAGCAGGGGCACAAGAGGACUACAUGCCUGGACCGGGGAGAUGCCCUGAAGCCUGUUUGUAAACCAGCAAGGUGCAAGAAUUAUGGGAUUGAAGGUCACAGACGGAACAACUGCCAGAAAUUGGGUGAUUUACGGAUGAUUGGCUUGUGAGGAGGUGCAGCAGACUAUGUACUUAAGACAAUAAUUCUGUAGAGCUUAAUGUGUGCAACUGUAGUUCCAUGCUAUAGAAUUAUAGGCACUACCAUUUCUGAGCACUAUGGUGGUGUAUAUGCUUCUGAAUUUUUGGGCAAUAAGUUGGAGUUCAUAAUUGGAAAACAUAAUAAAAAUUUACUAAGGUGAAGCAUACUGAAUUUUGAAGCACUACGGUAGUGUCUACAUUUCUGAAUUUUUAGGCAAUAAGUUGGAGUCCAUAAUUGGAAAAUAUAAUAAAAAUGUACUGAGGUGAAGCAUACUGAAUUUUGAAGCACUACAGUAGUGUCUACGUUUCUGAAUUUUUGGGCAAUUUGUUGAUGUCCAGAAUUUGAAAAUUUUAUAAUUAAAGUUCUGAUUUUCUGAAUUUGUAAGCAAUAUGG
Molecule: long non-coding RNA, 2567 nt
Organism: Triticum aestivum (bread wheat)
Lineage: Eukaryota; Viridiplantae; Streptophyta; Magnoliopsida; Poales; Poaceae
Exons: 3
Source: RefSeq, a predicted model, not a curated record